Molecule: ribosomal RNA, 498 nt
Filed under: uncultured bacterium
Lineage: Bacteria
Description: partial 16S ribosomal RNA
Rfam family: Bacterial small subunit ribosomal RNA
Source: RNAcentral
GAUGAACGCUGGCGGCGUGCCUAAUACAUGCAAGUCGAGCGAACUUUUGGGAGCUUGCUCCCAAAAGUUAGCGGCGGACGGGUGAGUAACACGUGGGUAACCUUCCUGUAAGACUGGGAUAACUUCGGGAAACCGGAGAUAAUACCGGAUAACAUUGAAGGCCACAGGGCCAUCAAUUAAAAGGUGGCUUUUAGCUACGACUUACAGAUGGACGCGCGGCGCAUUUGCUAGUUGGUAAGGUAACGGCUCACCAAGGCGACGAUGCGUAGCCGACCGGAGAGGGUGGUCGGCCACCCUGGGACUGGGACACGGCCCAGACCCCUACGGGGGGCAGCAGUAGGGAAUCUUCCGCAAUGGACGAAAGUCUGACGGCGCAACGCCGCGGGAUCGAAGAAGGCCUUCGGGUCGUAAAGCUCUGUUGUUAGGGAAGAACAAGUAGCGUUCGAAUAGGGCGGUACCUUGACGGUACCUAACCAGAAAGCCACGGCUAACUACGUG